AUUCCGGGACAGGCAAGUCUACCCAUAAUUCCCUGUAUUGCCGAGGGCGCCAUUUUGGAACACAAAUGUAAACAAACACUCAAACCUCGUGUAAUCGAUGUACACCGUGAUGCUUGAUUGCGAUAUGCUUACCUGGUGUAACGAUACAUUGUUCUCAAUCACCUCUAACACGGAAAUCCCGGUCGAAAUCCAUCUGAGCCAUCCACAACGAGGACGUCAAGUACUUCGAAAACUCGAUUGACAGCCGAAGGAAGGAAGAGCACCUUGCGGAUGCUAGCAUGUUCAGGGUUUGUGGGGAGGUUCACAGACAUCUUCAGGGAGGAUACGAAGUGUUGAAAUGUCCGGAUGAAUAAAAGAGACAGUCAUCUGUGCAGCAUCAAUGCAAGGAAAGACCAUAGAAGAGCAACAAAACUGAAGUCCUGCUUGAGAUCCCUGGAUGAGUACUCCAGGUUGACAGCCUGGAAGGACCAGACAAGGGAGUCCUUAACAGGGCGUGCACCCCUUCAGAUAUCAGAGGUGAUUUGCAGACAGCGAUGAUGAGGGUCCUGUUAUUUCAAUGGAGGCUGACCGAGAAGUUAUAUGCCAAAUGGUACUGGGACACACAAGACUGGUCUGGCUAAUGUGAGAAGACCAACCAAUGCCAAGCUGGAGUGGAAUCCUUCCAGGACAUUCAAGAAAUUCUUGUCCUGAGCCAUGUGGUAAACACUUGAACGGAAUGAUAAAUGGGACUUAUUGUCUUUCAAUGUGGACCCAAACACCAAAUGGAAAGUUCACAAUUCUACUAGCGCAAUGCAGCAGGGAUUGAGUCCAACUGGUAUCCCCUCAUCCUGGUUCCUGUUCAUCCAUGGCAAUAUAGAAAGAAAAGUAGGAUUGAGGGAAAGUAAGUUCUCUGAACUGGUGAACAUAAUCCGUAGGUACUGUCAAGCGAACAGUUAUCUCACUCUGUUAUGAGUAUUGAAGAAUAGGAUGAAAUUGCAUACUGCAUCAGGAACAAUCGUGUGAACACUGUUCAGUGUGCGAUAUACUAUAGGCAUGAUAGGCAUAUGAAUAAAAAAAAUAUGAUAAUUUGA
Molecule: long non-coding RNA, 1070 nt
Filed under: Haliotis rufescens (red abalone)
Lineage: Eukaryota; Metazoa; Mollusca; Gastropoda; Lepetellida; Haliotidae
Description: uncharacterized LOC124118574
Source: RNAcentral